RNAcentral lists this ribosomal RNA (81 nucleotides) under Caloramator mitchellensis. Lineage: Bacteria; Bacillati; Bacillota; Clostridia; Eubacteriales; Clostridiaceae. The record is from RNAcentral.
AUAUCGAACACGAAGGUUAAGCCUACCUGCGCCGAUGAUACUUGGCUGGAGACGGCCUGGGAAAGUAGGUGACUGCCGGGU